GGGAGCAGCUAUCUGGACCUGCUUUCACUGAGGAGAGAGAGCAGCUCUGAAGGAGGAUGCCCGAUCCCUUCCUGAGUGGCCACCUUGCUUGUGCCCAUUCCCAGUCCCGUCAAGGAGAAAGGAGCCUUCAAGAAACUGAGGGAGACUGAGAAAUAUGUUCACAGGAUCUCUGCUCUUCCCCAAAUACAUUUUCUCCUCUACCUCUGUAUCAAGCAUUUUAUUAAGGCCAGCUGAAGUGUGCAUCUGUGAUUCUCUAUGGAGAGGAAUGAAAUAGAUAUGCCUGGCUUUUGUUUCUUUUACGGUCUUCUUGAAGGAAAAAUGAACUUCUCAAGUCCAAUCUUCACUUUUGCAAUCAAGCUUCUGGUAGCAAAUUUUAGUGUUUUUCCUUGAAACUCCAUAAACAUUAGGGUGAGCAGAAGGCGCUGCUCUGUGAGUUUAAAACCUCCAGAAAGUUUAUGGCGUUUUUAUGCCCUAAAUCCAGAUUGUGUCUAAUUAUUCUCCUCCAUCACACAACGUGCUGUAACCUCGCGCUUCCAGCCACCACCUCCAGAAGACACAAAACACAGCAUUUGUUCCCCGAGAAGGCUGCUGCAGACGCACAUUAGGUAGCUUCCCUCUCACUUUGGUUAAAUUAAAGCAAUAUUUUAAGCAUCCUGGGGACGGGUUUUGCUCGCCUCUCUCGUGACAAGGCCUGAAGGGGAAGCAGGAGAUGCUCCCAUCUCCUUGGCAACUGAGCCAGGUGUGCUUGGUGCCACCAGCACGUCCCCGCAGCUGUCUCCAAGCAACAAAGCCACCACGAUGCCAGUGAGGAUGCGGAUGAGGAUGAGACAAGCUCCCAGCCCCAACACCCGCCCCGGCAUCGAGCAGGAGGCAAGACUGAGCAAACACGAGGCUGUCAGAAAUGGAAAUCGAUCGAGCAACCCAGGCAUCUCCAUUUGGCCUGCCAGGCGCUGGAAACUAAAAGGAGGAGCCCUGAGGAGACGGAAGUUCUCUGCAAGCCAUGCAGGCAUAUGGCUCCCCUCUGCCACCUAAAAAGCAAAAAACAGCUGUCCCAACCUCUGGCUGAGCAGCCCAAGCACCAACACCCACAGGGAAGGUGAAGAAGCUCAUGUGCUGGUUGAUAGCUGCCUCAAUCUGCCUUGACAGAGGCCAGCUUUUCUAGUCCUUUUUCCAUUUUUUUCCCCUAUGUUGCUACAUG
This 1198-nucleotide long non-coding RNA is filed under the name Anser brachyrhynchus (Pink-footed goose). Its description in RNAcentral is "lncRNA (ENSABRG00000006290.1)". Lineage: Eukaryota; Metazoa; Chordata; Aves; Anseriformes; Anatidae. The record is from RNAcentral.